CGGGAGAUGGUUUCACUAACUUAGGCGGUGCUCUGGGUAGUUUUGUGCAAUGGCCCAUACACUUAGUGAUUUUCGAAGACGGCGAGGAUUGUACUUCACCUCCUAAAAAGAAGUCCAAGUCUAAUGUUUCUAAAGAGAGGGAUGGUAGCUCCAAGAAAAAGACAACGGUAUUAGCGGCCCAAAAGAAGACAACAGACUUAGCAUCCAAGGAAUUUUCGCAUCCAAAGAAGUCGAAUUCUAAGCCUAAGUCCA
Molecule: long non-coding RNA, 252 nt
Organism: Spinacia oleracea (spinach)
Lineage: Eukaryota; Viridiplantae; Streptophyta; Magnoliopsida; Caryophyllales; Amaranthaceae
Exons: 3
Source: RefSeq, a predicted model, not a curated record